GCCUGGGUGGCUCAGUCGGUUGAGCGUCCGACUUCAGCUCAGGCAAUGAUCUCACGGUCCGUGAGUUCGAGCCCCGCAUCGGGCU
Molecule: non-coding RNA, 85 nt
Organism: Felis catus (domestic cat)
Lineage: Eukaryota; Metazoa; Chordata; Mammalia; Carnivora; Felidae
Source: Rfam